RNAcentral lists this small RNA (30 nucleotides) under Bombyx mori (domestic silkworm). RNAcentral's name for it is "ovarian small RNA-38280". The record is from RNAcentral. Lineage: Eukaryota; Metazoa; Arthropoda; Insecta; Lepidoptera; Bombycidae.
UUUCAUGAUCAAGGCUUCACGUUUGCGGAA